AGGUUCGAUCUGGCUCAGGACGACGCUGGCGGCAUGCCUAACACAUGCAAGUCGAACGGGGGUAGCAAUACCCUAGUGGCGAACGGGUGAGUAACACAUAAGCAAUCUGCCCUUCACAGGGGGAUAACAGCGGGCAACUGCUGCUAAUACCGCAUAAGACCACGGUACCGCAUGGUACAGGGGUAAAAACGAUCAGUGGUGAAGGAUGAGCUUAUGUCCCAUUAGCUAGUUGGUGAGAUAACAGCCCACCAAGGCGACGAUGGGUAGCCGACCUGAGAGGGUGAUCGGCCACACUGGAACUGAGACACGGUCCAGACUCCUACGGGAGGCAGCAGUGGGGAAUAUUGGGCAAUGGAGGGAAAAACCUCUUACCCAGCAAUGCCGCGUGAGUGAAGAAGGUCUUCGGAUUGUAAAGCUCUUUGAUUGGGGACGAAGAAAGUGACGGUACCCAAAGAACAAGCCCCGGCUAACUACGUGCCAGCAGCCGC
RNAcentral lists this ribosomal RNA (488 nucleotides) under uncultured bacterium. Its description in RNAcentral is "bacterial SSU rRNA". It matches the Rfam family "Bacterial small subunit ribosomal RNA", at positions 10 to 518 of the family's 1533-position model. The record is from RNAcentral.